RNAcentral lists this ribosomal RNA (389 nucleotides) under Cylindrotheca sp. RNAcentral's name for it is "partial small subunit ribosomal RNA". It matches the Rfam family "Eukaryotic small subunit ribosomal RNA", at positions 582 to 975 of the family's 1831-position model. The record is from RNAcentral. Lineage: Eukaryota; Bacillariophyta; Bacillariophyceae; Bacillariales; Bacillariaceae.
AUUCCAGCUCCAAUAGCGUAUAUUAAAGUUGUUGCAGUUAAAAAGCUCGUAGUUGGAUUUGUGGUGUACUUCGGCGGCCCGUCACUAUGUGAUGGAGCUUGCUGAAGUCGCCAUCCUUGGGUGGAUCCUGUGUGGCAUUAAGUUGUCGUGCAGGGGAUGCCCAUCGUUUACUGUGAAAAAAUUAGAGUGUUCAAAGCAGGCUUAUGCCGUUGAAUAUAUUAGCAUGGAAUAAUAAGAUAGGACCUUGGUACUAUUUUGUUGGUUUGCGCACCAAGGUAAUGAUUAAUAGGGACAGUUGGGGGUAUUCGUAUUUCAUUGUCAGAGGUGAAAUUCUUGGAUUUUUGAAAGACGAACUACUGCGAAAGCAUUUACCAAGGAUGUUUUCAUUA